GGAAUAAGCAACUUGUAUUCCCAUGAGGCCAUACGCCGAUAUAUAUAUACAUGUACAAGUGUGGAACAUAUGCAGGAAACCCCUUAUACAACGGGAUAAAUACAAAGGAGUACAUGACUUAUAGUAUAACUCUAACACCUCUCAUAUCAACGAUUUCUUGAAUAAUUUUCUCUCUUAUCAAUGGUGAACCUGUAUCAUCAGAUUUGGCCAAACAAUCAGUGUUGAAUAAGGAACUUCACAUGCUAAAUAAAAAAGGAAACAUGUGCAUUGAUAAGAGAAUUUCGGAACAACCUAAACUGUGAAUAUGCAGAAAGCUAAUUGAACGCACUUCUACAAAGUCGCUCAAACAUGGAUCCAAUUAAUAACCCUGUAAACCCCCAACCUUAUUUUUUUAUGUUAUUUGGGGAAGGUAGAUACCGCAAUUUUGGAGCGUAUACACCACUGAUAUAAGCUCCUUGUUGUUCAAUUGUAUUUCAAUGUAUAGAGAAAUAUAUAUCACUCAAGGAUGGUUGAAUAGCUAGAUUCACAAAUGUUAAGAUUUUUCAAGCAUGCACGCAUACCUUUUUGGUACCAUGUUAACAACAGGAAUCUAAAAGCAAAUGCACCAUUGCAGCAUUUAUGUAAUUAAUUUAUCCACACUUAUAGUGAUGCACCUCUCUUGUUAUGCCGCUGAUUUUCACCCCAAGUGUAACCCACAGCAUUGGGAUGCGGCCUUCUGAAGGUAUCAAUGGAGCCUCUCAUACCAAUGAUUUCUUGAAUAAUUUUUUCUCUUAUCAAUGGUGAAUCUGUAUCAUCAGAUUUGGCCAAAAAAUCAGUGUUGAAUAAGGAACUUCACAUGCUAAAUAAAAAAGGAAACAUGUGCAUUGAUAAGAGAAUUUCAGAACAACCUAAACUGUGAAUAUGCAGAAAGCUAAUUGAACGCACUUCUACAAAGUCGCUCAAACAUGGAUCCAAUUAAUAACCCUGUAAACCUGAAGAUCAAGUGAAAGAAAAAAUGAAAUAGAAACUUCAAGACUACUUGCACCUGAACUGAAUGUAAUUUGUACUUGGAACCAAGAAUAUAGAAAAGCAAGAUUAAGUGUUAUCCUUUAGUCCUCAAUUGCCCAUGUGCUCUCUCCUUCCAACUUCGUCUCCUCACUCUCGUGUGUAGUCUAAAUUUACUUACUCAAGGAAGAAACUUAGGGUGAAAAGGAAAAAAUUGGAGUCUUAGAUGGCAGCACUCUGACAGGAUAAUAACCAAGAAUGGUUCCACCGAGCAUUAGAGCUGCUCUUGUACAGCCUGCAGAAAAAUACAGAAUUUCAGCCUACAAGAAUGGCUCCACCAAGCAUCAGAACUUCCAAGAUCAACUGCAUCAGGACCUCCACCGAGCAUCAGAGCUGCUCUUGUACAACCUGCAGAAAAGUACAGAAUUUCAGGCUGCAAGAAUGGCUCCACCAAGCAUCAGAACUUCCAAGAUCAACUGAUGAGGGGUACUUCCAUGUGAUCUUUAUUAUUUAGUACAAGCUUUAACUAACUACCGAAGCACCCUAAAGAAAUACCUCCAAUCCAAGCACACUGUUACAGAGAUCUUUUUAUACAAAACAAAAUUUCUGACCAGACAAUCGACAUGCAGUUGACUGUUGAUUAAUUACAUGGCUUGUCACAACUCUAAGCGGAAAGAUGGACCCUUAGAAUCAAGAGAGAAGUAAACUUUGCUGAUGAACAAUUCACAAGAAGAAUAAAAAACUUACCGGCAUUCAUUAGAAGACCGCUUUCUAUCUUCUGAUCCAAAUUCCAGUUUGACUUUCCUGAAUCAAGUCGACCAAUUGUUAAAUAGACGACAAAGAGCAUAGAUAUGGUAUCAUAAAGACAGUCACAAUACCGAUUGCAUGUGGUUAAUCCAAGUAAACAACAUUACAUAUUUGAUGUUCUUCCCAUGCUUCCUGUUCAGCAAAAGGAUUCAUUUUAUCUUUGGCCUUAGGAUCUCUGCUUGUCUAGCAAAUUUAAAAAAUAAUAUAUUUAAACAAGUUCACAGGAAAUUACAUAGAGUCUCAUACUGUCAUGUAGAAGGACAUACAUACCUGUAUCACUGCAUUGCUACGGAGAAUCUCUAUUCUUGAUUAACACCUUCACCCAUGUCAUAAGUUUCAGGCAUUUUGCACCAAAAAUUAUGUGAUUGACGAACUGAAGAAAUUGGCAUCAAGAGAUCAUAGUGUCAUCAAUAUUCUCAAGAGGUGGGGGGCAUACCUCAGCAACAUCAACAUGCUCCUUAACAUGACCAUUAAUCUGCCUCUUGUAUCUGCACACAUAAACCGUUAAAUGCCCCAGAUGUACGCCACCAUAACCAUAACCGCAUCCACCUACAUGAAACGGAACACAUUGACUACUCCUCAACAUCCACUC
RNAcentral lists this long non-coding RNA (2383 nucleotides) under Triticum aestivum (bread wheat). RNAcentral's name for it is "long non-coding RNA (TAES_LNC015761)". Lineage: Eukaryota; Viridiplantae; Streptophyta; Magnoliopsida; Poales; Poaceae. The record is from RNAcentral.